AUGGUCAAGAAUUACCAUAUUUCUCUAUGGGAGCCUCAACUCCAGGAGGGCCAGAGUUAUGUUGAGGUUGUAAAUACUCUUUCAAGUUAAUAUUUCAGAAGGGGACCAUAAAAUAAUUAACAAACAAUUGUCAGAGAUUCCUCCUUAUAUUUAUCAAUUCACUGCAUUUGAGGACAUCCUCAGUGGAGUUGCUACCACAAAUGUUUUAAUUGAUGUCAUUGGAGAGUUCAUUGACAUAGAGAUGAGCUAGCCUGAAUCAAUGUCGAAGAAGGUCGUCUU
Molecule: non-coding RNA, 279 nt
Organism: Lupinus albus (white lupine)
Lineage: Eukaryota; Viridiplantae; Streptophyta; Magnoliopsida; Fabales; Fabaceae
Source: the annotation of a GenBank genome assembly